AGACAUUUCUCUGCGAAUGAUAGUACUAGACAGGACAAUGCUGUUUGCAGCAACGUCUCCAGAAGACGACAGUGGGAACCCAUGGAAAACCAGAGAAUUCAAACCAAAGGAAAACCAGGAAACUUUGCCGAUCUUCUUCGGGGGAAACUUCUGAAAUGUUUGCCAUCAUCGGGACAAUUGUUCGGGAUGUCAAUAGAGUUUCUUAAUUAGGUGACAGACCUGAGUGUUCUAAAGAGACACGUGUCAAGAGAUUCGGUUUUCCCAGGUUACCCCUGAGAAACACCAAACCUG
RNAcentral lists this long non-coding RNA (291 nucleotides) under Rattus norvegicus (Norway rat). RNAcentral's name for it is "long non-coding RNA NONRATT031612". The record is from RNAcentral. Lineage: Eukaryota; Metazoa; Chordata; Mammalia; Rodentia; Muridae.